Molecule: ribosomal RNA, 429 nt
Filed under: uncultured Acinetobacter sp.
Lineage: Bacteria; Pseudomonadati; Pseudomonadota; Gammaproteobacteria; Moraxellales; Moraxellaceae
Description: bacterial SSU rRNA
Rfam family: Bacterial small subunit ribosomal RNA
Source: RNAcentral
UGGGGAAUAUUGGACAAUGGGGGGAACCCUAAUCCAGCCAUGCCGCGUGUGUGAAGAAGGCCUUAUGGUUGUAAAGCACUUUAAGCGAGGAGGAGGCUCCCGUAGCUAAUAUCUACGGAGAGUGGACGUUACUCGCAGAAUAAGCACGGGCUAACUCUGUGCCAGCAGCCGCGGUAAUACAGAGGGUGCGAGCGUUAAUCGGAUUUACUGGGCGUAAAGCGUGCGUAGGCGGCUUUUUAAGUCGGAUGUGAAAUCCCCGAGCCUAACCUGGGGAUUUGAAUUCAUAACUGGGAAGCUGUGGUAUGGAGAAGAUUGGAGGAAUCCAGGGUGAAGCGGUAAAUUGCGUAGGAUCCUGAGGAAUACCGAUGGCGAAGGCAGCCAUCUGGCCUAAUACUGACGCUGAGGUACGAAAGCAUGGGGAGCAAACAG